RNAcentral lists this transfer RNA (73 nucleotides) under Bos taurus (domestic cattle). It matches the Rfam family "tRNA". Rfam says of the family: Transfer RNA (tRNA) molecules are approximately 80 nucleotides in length. Their secondary structure includes four short double-helical elements and three loops (D, anti-codon, and T loops). RNAcentral also lists the same sequence under 2 other names. Lineage: Eukaryota; Metazoa; Chordata; Mammalia; Artiodactyla; Bovidae. The record is from Rfam by way of RNAcentral.
UCCCUGACAGUCUAGUUGUUAAGACAUAGGCUUUCACUGCCGUUGGGCCCAGGUUCAAUUCCUGGUCAGGGAA